RNAcentral lists this ribosomal RNA (371 nucleotides) under uncultured bacterium. Its description in RNAcentral is "bacterial SSU rRNA". It matches the Rfam family "Bacterial small subunit ribosomal RNA", at positions 525 to 896 of the family's 1533-position model. The record is from RNAcentral.
ACGAGAGGUCCAAACGUUAUUCGGAAUUACUGGGCUUAAAGAGUUCGUAGGCGGCUAAGUAAGUGGGAUGUGAAAGCCCUCGGCUCAACCGAGGAACUGCGUUCCAAACUACAUAGCUAGAGGAAGAUAGAGGUGAGCAGAACUGAUGGUGGAGCGGUGAAAUGCGUUGAUAUCAUCAGGAAUACCGGAGGCGAAGGCGGCUCACUGGGUCUUUUCUGACGCUGAGGAACGAAAGCUAGGGGAGCAAACGGGAUUAGAUACCCCGGUAGUCCUAGCCGUAAACGAUGAGCACUGGACCGGAGCCCUGCACAGGGUUUCGGUCGUAGCGAAAGUGUUAAGUGCUCCGCCUGGGGAGUAUGGUCGCAAGGCUG